CGACUGCGGGGUUUUCACAACCGAUUGCACGGAAAACGACAGCCAUUACAGAAUUGGCUGAAGACAGGAAGCAAUUGUCGUUCAUUGAAAGCGAAAAUUUCUUUGUUGUCGUGUUUAAAUUUGUUUACGGCUUCUAUAAUCAGCAUUCUCCUUAUGAGAUACGCCGUAUUUGCAUAGUAAGUUCGGUGAGUCAAAUAUUCUGGUGUGCUUCUCAAAAUAUUUCGAUCAACAUUUCCAAGUAAAAUGGCGAAUGGGUAAUGCACAAUGAUCUUAGGCAACUGAGUGUGUGUUAGGUGUCAAGAUCAGGUAUCAGCAUCAUCAGUGGACUUUAGUACAAUGACAUGGUGCAGUUGACUCCUUUUCCACUUCUUCAUUUUAUUAUCCUUCGCUGAUGGACUGUUUGCUGCUUGGUCGUCUUUAUUCUCAUCAACUUCUUAUCUUUCAUCGUACAUUUUAACUGAGGGUGAAGAAGGAAGAGAUUUCUCAAGUAUCUAAAGUGAAGGUCCUUGAACGCUGGGAGUCAUCGCCUUAUCAUUCAAGUGCAUUUCCGUUUGCACAGUUCUACGUGGAUACAAUGGUCAUCGAAAUUACUCUACUUUGUUUUUCCUGUCGUAUACUUUGCACCAUUUUGUGAAAUGCAGUUUUUUCCUUCGGUUCAAAGUAUGUAUUGAACGUUAAUAUCCAUUUAUAAAAUAGCAUAAAUUCUCCAUUCUUGUGGCUAAAAUUUAGGAUUAUAAUAUGAUACUAGUUCCUAAUACGUAUUAAGUUAAACAACAUACAUAAAACGUACAAUCAUUAAAAACAAUGAUAU
Molecule: unclassified non-coding RNA, 811 nt
Filed under: Apis florea (little honeybee)
Lineage: Eukaryota; Metazoa; Arthropoda; Insecta; Hymenoptera; Apidae
Description: uncharacterized LOC100871735, transcript variant X3
Source: RNAcentral